This 247-nucleotide long non-coding RNA is filed under the name Elaeis guineensis (African oil palm). Its description in RNAcentral is "long non-coding RNA (EGUI_LNC042893)". The record is from RNAcentral. Lineage: Eukaryota; Viridiplantae; Streptophyta; Magnoliopsida; Arecales; Arecaceae.
UCUGCAUGGUUUUGAAAAGUUCAAAAACUCCGAGAGGAAAGAAAAGAAAGAGAGUGGGCGCAGGAUUUUCUGAGAGUACCCUAGGGUUUCUGCCUAGGGUUCGGGAAGUGAGAAAGUGUGCUACGAGUGUUGUGAGCCCAUAAGAUUUUAGGAAGAGCUUCAUCAACCUCUCAAGUAUAUCUGCUGAUGAUCUGGAACAUCCGAGGAGUCAGCAGAUCAAGAUCGAAGGAGUUCAAUCAACAUCGGC